GACGAACGCUGGCGGCGUGCUUAACACAUGCAAGUCGAGCGGUAAGGCCCUUUCGGGAGUACACGAGCGGCGAACGGGUGAGUAACACGUGGGUGACCUGCCUUUAGCUCUGGGAUAAGCCUGGGAAACUGGGUCUAAUACCGGAUAUGACUCCGCGGUGCAUGCUGUGGGGUGGAAAGCCUUGUGCGGCUGGAGAUGGGCCCGCGGCCUAUCAGCUUGUUGGUGGGGUGANGGCCUACCAAGGCGACGACGGGUAGCCGGCCUGAGAGGGCGACCGGCCACACUGGGACUGAGACACGGCCCAGACUCCUACGGGAGGCAGCAGGUGGGGAAUCUUGC
Molecule: ribosomal RNA, 339 nt
Filed under: uncultured bacterium
Lineage: Bacteria
Description: bacterial SSU rRNA
Rfam family: Bacterial small subunit ribosomal RNA
Source: RNAcentral